Podarcis lilfordi (Lilford's wall lizard) is the source of this 72-nucleotide non-coding RNA. The record is from the annotation of a GenBank genome assembly. NCBI's taxonomy places the organism in Eukaryota, Metazoa, Chordata, Lepidosauria, Squamata, Lacertidae.
AGGGCUGUAGCUCUGUGGCAGAGCAUCCGCUUUGCCCGCAGAAGGUCCCAGGUUCACUCCCCAGCAACUCUA